AACGAACGCUGGCGGCAUGCCUAACACAUGCAAGUCGAACGAGACCUUCGGGUCUAGUGGCGCACGGGUGCGUAACGCGUGGGAACCUGCCCUUAGGUUCGGAAUAACUCCCCGAAAGGGGUGCUAAUACCGGAUAAUGUCUUCGGACCAAAGAUUUAUCGCCUUUGGAUGGGCCCGCGUUGGAUUAGCUAGUUGGUAGGGUAAAAGCCUACCAAGGCGACGAUCCAUAGCUGGUCUGAGAGGAUGAUCAGCCACACUGGGACUGGGACACGGCCCAGACUCCUACGGGAGGCAGCAGUGGGGAAUAUUGGACAAUGGGCGAAAGCCUGAUCCAGCAAUGCCGCGUGAGUGAUGAAGGCCUUAGGGUUGUAAAGCUCUUUUACCCGGGAUGAUAAUGACAGUACCGAGAGAAUAAGCUCCGGCUAACUCCGUG
Molecule: ribosomal RNA, 433 nt
Filed under: uncultured bacterium
Lineage: Bacteria
Description: partial 16S ribosomal RNA
Rfam family: Bacterial small subunit ribosomal RNA
Source: RNAcentral